CCAGGCGUCGAGUGGCGGACGGGUGAGUAAUACUUAGGAAUCUGCCCAUUAGUGGGGGACAACAUUCGGAAACGGAUGCUAAUACCGCAUACGCCCUACGGGGGAAAGCGGGGGAUCUUCGGACCUCGCGCUAAUGGAUGAGCCUAAGCCGGAUUAGCUAGUUGGUAGGGUAAAAGCCUACCAAGGCGACGAUCCGUAGCUGGUCUGAGAGGACGAUCAGCCACACUGGGACUGAGACACGGCCCAGACUCCUACGGGAGGCAGCAGUGGGGAAUAUUGGACAAUGGGGGCAACCCUGAUCCAGCAAUGCCGCGUGUGUGAAGAAGGCCUGCGGGUUGUAAAGCACUUUCAGUAGAGAAGAAAAGCCUAGGGUUAAUAACCCUGAGUCUUGACGUUACCUACAGAAGAAGCUCCGGCUAACUCCGUGCCAGCAGCCGCGGUAAUACGGAGGGAGCGAGCGU
This 461-nucleotide ribosomal RNA is filed under the name uncultured bacterium. Its description in RNAcentral is "bacterial SSU rRNA". It matches the Rfam family "Bacterial small subunit ribosomal RNA", at positions 84 to 541 of the family's 1533-position model. The record is from RNAcentral.